GGUCUGUUUCUUUCUUCAAUCUUUCCAAGUGCCCACCUCUUGCUCUCUUUCUCCUUGUCCUUAGUUGAGGAUGAAUCAGCACGUUGUCUCCACAUGCUUCGAGGUAUCAUCUUCACUUCCAUUCUCGGAGAUGAAGAAGUGUUGAAAGGGUGUGCCUUUGCUGUGGGAAGGCGAAGGUAGAUACUUAUGGGACUUUUCUUCACAACCGGAACUAUUCUCUCACUCAUUGUCGGCAGCCGGUGGAUGGAUGAAUAGUACAUAUUACGCGCUUUCUGACAAAGCUGCCCGUAAUUUCCGCAAAGCUGCCAGUUGCAUGUGACGAGUGACAACACGUCUGGACAAAUUGAUCUUUUGAAAUCCGGGGUUCGGCUCGUGGUUUCUGAGCAAGCCCAGCCUUUAAG
RNAcentral lists this long non-coding RNA (401 nucleotides) under Malus domestica (apple). RNAcentral describes it as "long non-coding RNA (MDOM_LNC013210)". Lineage: Eukaryota; Viridiplantae; Streptophyta; Magnoliopsida; Rosales; Rosaceae. The record is from RNAcentral.